CCCUAAAGGGCUAGCCACGGUGCCGGGGCACUGAGCUCUCCAGCUGUCCUGUUGCUGGCGCUGUCAUGUCCUCUCCAGCUGCGUCUCCAUCGCGCCUUUCUCCUCUGCUUCCUUUUCCUCUAGGGUUCCAUUGGAUUUCCGGGGUUCGUGGGAGCCAACGGAGAGAAAGGAGGAAGGGGCACCUCUGGCAAACCAGGACCAAGAGGACAACGGGGGCCCACGGGCCCCCGAGGAGAACGCGGCCAGCGAGGCAUCACAGGGAAGCCAGGUCCAAAGGGCAAUUCUGGUGGGGACGGACCUCCAGGGCCUCCAGGUGA
Molecule: long non-coding RNA, 317 nt
Filed under: Pseudonaja textilis
Lineage: Eukaryota; Metazoa; Chordata; Lepidosauria; Squamata; Elapidae
Description: lncRNA (ENSPTXG00000008368.1)
Source: RNAcentral